AAAGUUUUAAAAGUCGAACAGACUUAAUAUUAUAGCUCCUACACCAUAAUUUAACUUUAAUCCAACAUCGAGGUCGCAAUCCCUUCUGUCGAUAAGAACUCUUUAAAAAGAUUACG
RNAcentral lists this ribosomal RNA (116 nucleotides) under Schinostethus satoi. RNAcentral describes it as "partial 16S ribosomal RNA". The record is from RNAcentral. Lineage: Eukaryota; Metazoa; Arthropoda; Insecta; Coleoptera; Psephenidae.